Molecule: ribosomal RNA, 253 nt
Filed under: uncultured Eubacteriales bacterium
Lineage: Bacteria; Bacillati; Bacillota; Clostridia; Eubacteriales
Description: uncultured Clostridiales bacterium partial 16S ribosomal RNA
Rfam family: Bacterial small subunit ribosomal RNA
Source: RNAcentral
UACGUAGGGGGCAAGCGUUAUCCGGAUUUACUGGGUGUAAAGGGAGCGUAGACGGUACGCCAAGUCUGAAGUGAAAUGCCGCAGCUUAACUGCGGAACUGCUUUGGAAACUGGCGGGCUAGAGUGCGGGAGGGGUAAGCGGAAUUCCUAGUGUAGCGGUGAAAUGCAUAGAUAUCACGCAGAACUCCGAUUGCGAAGGCAGCAUACCGGCGCCCAACUGACGCUGAAGCACGAAAGCGUGGGUAUCGAACAGG